UCCUGGCGAUGUGGCGCAACUUCAAGGUGUUGGGUAUGCGGACCACCCACUUCCUCUUGGGAUGGCAGACGGCCCUCUGGAUGACCUCAAGCAAGGCCGGCGCCUGGCGCACCUGGACUUUUUCGACGACGAAGGUCUGUCCGGCGAGGUCGAGAUUGUUAGUGAGAAGGACCGCGUGCUCCAGCCCGACGAGACUUAUCUCCAGCUGGCUGCCGAUGGCGUCGAUCGGAACCGCCUCCUGGGCCGCCAUGGCCUCGCACCUCUAUGGAUAGAUGGUGGCUUUCGAUUCGAUUUCGGGUGAAAACGACGUAUUGUAGCUGGGGCCCUUUUGUAGGCCCGACAGUCCUCCUGGAAG
Molecule: unclassified non-coding RNA, 355 nt
Filed under: Zea mays
Lineage: Eukaryota; Viridiplantae; Streptophyta; Magnoliopsida; Poales; Poaceae
Description: misc RNA Zm00001eb143760
Source: RNAcentral